UACGAAGGGGGCUAGCGUUGCUCGGAAUGACUGGGCGUAAAGGGCGCGUAGGCGGUUUGGACAGUCAGGCGUGAAAUUCCCGGGCUUAACCUGGGGGCUGCGCUUGAUACAUCCAGGCUUGAGUGGGGAAGAGGGUCGUGGAAUUCCCAGUGUAGAGGUGAAAUUCGUAGAUAUUGGGAAGAACACCGGUGGCGAAGGCGGCGACCUGGUCCUUUACUGACGCUGAGGCGCGAAAGCGUGGGAGCAAACAGG
This 252-nucleotide ribosomal RNA is filed under the name uncultured bacterium. RNAcentral's name for it is "partial 16S ribosomal RNA". It matches the Rfam family "Bacterial small subunit ribosomal RNA", at positions 524 to 776 of the family's 1533-position model. The record is from RNAcentral.